Molecule: long non-coding RNA, 2554 nt
Organism: Oncorhynchus keta (chum salmon)
Lineage: Eukaryota; Metazoa; Chordata; Actinopteri; Salmoniformes; Salmonidae
Exons: 4
Source: RefSeq, a predicted model, not a curated record
AGUAAAAACUCCUGGGGCCGUAAGUACAUUUUCUUACAGAAUUCUGGUGUACGUGGAGACUCUAGGAUUUGCGUGUGCAACACAUGAUUAGGAUUUAUCAAACUGUCGCACGUAAACAUCCACAUAUUUUCAUUUACGAAUCAGAGUCAUACUACAUUUGUAAGGUUGUGAACGAGCUCCACAACCACGACUGGAAAAUGCCCUCGAUUCACUUUAAACAAUUUUUCUUAACGAUAUUUGAAGGAAACCAGAUCAAAGUAUGAAAUCAGAUCAAAGCAAAAACCAUUUUGUAGAAGCAAAAUGGCUGUUGCUUUUACAUUGAUCAAGGUUGAUCAUAAAGUUACUGGCCCCCUCCCCCGUGUUAAAUAACAUCACCUUAACUCUCAUUUUAAUACAGAAAUGGUAACUCGAUAUUCUCUUAUCUAAUUUAACUAAGUACCACUUUGUAACCAACAUCGAAAAAGGCGUGUUUGCAGAGGGGAGUUGUUUACAUAGCUAGAUUGCCAAAAUGUUACUGUCGGGUGUUAGCAAAUAUUAACAAUUUCCCCUUUCAUAUGUGUCUGGUGUUAGUUAGUUACUGGCUAGCUAGGUCUUCAUCUGUGUCUGGUGUUAGUUAGUUACUGGCUAGCUAGGUCUUCAUCUGUGUCUGGUGUUAGUUAGUUACUGGCUAGCUAGGUCUUCAUCUGUGUCUGGUGUUAGCUAGUUACUGGCUAGCUAGGUCUUCAUCUGUGUCUGGUGUUAGCUAGUUACUGGCUUGCUAGGUCUUCAUCUGUGUCUGGUGUUAGCUAGUUACUGGCUAGCUGGGUCUUCAUCUGUGUCUGGUGUUAGCUAGUUACUGGCUAGCUAGGUCUUCAUCUGUGUCUGGUGUUAGCUAGUUACUGGCUAGCUAGGUCUUCAUCUGUGUCUGGUGUUAGCUAGUUACUGGCUAGCUAGGUCUUCAUCUGUGUCUGGUGUUAGCUAGUUACUGGCUAGCUAGGUCUUCAUCUGUGUCUGGUGUUAGCUAGUUACUGGCUAGCUGGGUCUUCAUCUGUGUCUGGUGUUAGCUAGUUACUGGCGAGCUAGGUCUUCAUCUGUGUCUGGUGUUAGCUAGUUACUGGCUAGCUAGGUCUUCAUCUGUGUCUGGUGUUAGCUAGUUACUGGCGAGCUAGGUCUUCAUCUGUGUCUGGUGUUAGCUAGUUACUGGCUAGCUAGGUCUUCAUCUGUGUUAGCUAGUUACUGGCUAGCUAGGUCUUCAGCCAGCAUGGAACAAGAGGGUCUUUCAAAACUCAGACGCAGUUAUCAAGUCAACACAUAAGUCAGUGCUGUGGUGAACCGCAUCAUGCUAAAUGGGAGAUGUAUAAAAAAAAAGUAUAUAGUGCCUUUGGAAAGUAUUCAGACCCCUACACGUUUUCCACAUUUUGUUACGUUACAGUCUUAUUCUAAAAUUGAUUUAAAUUGUUUUUCUCGCCAUCAAUCUACACACAAUACCCCAUAAUGAUAAAAAAAACUGAAAUAUCACAUUUACAAGUAUUCAGACCCUUUUCUCAGUACUUUGUUGAAGCACCUUUGGCAGCAAUUACAGCAUAGAGUCUUCUUGGGUAUGACAAUACAUACUUGGCACACCUGUAUUUUGGGGAGUUUCUCCCAUUCAUCUCUGCAGAACCUCUCAAGCUCUGUCAGGUAGGAUGGGGAGUGUUGCUGCACAGCUAUUUUCAGGUCUCUCCAGAGCUGUUCGAUCGAGUUCAAGUCCGGGCUCCAGUUGGGCCACUCAAGGACAUUCAGAGACUUGUCCCAAAGCCACUCCUGCGUUGUCUUGGCUGUGUGAUUAAGGUCGUUGUCCUGUUGGAAGGUGAACCUUGGUCCCAGUCUGAGGUCCUGAGAGCUCUGGAGCAGGUUUUCAUCAAGGAUCACUCUGUACUUUGCUUCUUUCCCUCGAUCCUGACCAUUCUCCCAGUCCCUGUCGCUGAAGGGAUGGUGCCAGGUUUCCUCCAGAUGUGACGUUUGGCAUUCAGGCCAAAGAGUUCAAAUCUUGGUUUCAUCAGACCAGAGAAUCUUGUUUCUCAUGGUCUGAGAGUCUUUAGCUGCCUUCUGGGCUGUCAGGUGCCUUUUACUGAGGAGUGGCUACCUUCUGGCCACUCAACCAUAAAGGCCUGAUUGGUGGAGUGCUGCAGAAAUGGUUGUCCUUCUGGAAGGUUCUCCCAUCUCCACAGAAGAACUCUGGAGCUCUGUCAGAGUGACGAUUGGGUUUUUGGUCACCUCCCUGAUUGCUCAGUUUAUACAGGCAGCCAGCUCUAGGAAGAGUCUUGGUGGUUCCAAACUACAAACCUGUAUUCACUUUGUCAUUAAAGGAUAUUGUCAAAUCAAAUCAAAAUGUAUUUGUCACGUGCGCUGAAUAUAACAAGUGUAGACCUUACAGUGAAAUGCUUACUUACAGGCUCUAACCAAUAGUGCAAAAAAAGGUAUUAGGUGAACAAUAGGUAGGUAAAGAAAUAAAACAGUAAAAAGACAGGCUAUAUACAGCAGCAAACCUAUAAAAGUAGCGAGGCAACAUACAGACACCGGUUAGUCAGGCUGA